This 426-nucleotide long non-coding RNA is filed under the name Brassica napus (rape). RNAcentral describes it as "long non-coding RNA (BNAP_LNC005581)". The record is from RNAcentral. Lineage: Eukaryota; Viridiplantae; Streptophyta; Magnoliopsida; Brassicales; Brassicaceae.
CUCGGAGGUUUUAGAGUGAAGGAGUAGGGUUUAGGGUUUAGGGUUUAGGGUUUAGGGUUUAGGGUUUAGGGUUUAGGGUUUAGGGUUUAGAGGUGGGGUUUAGGGUUUAGGGUUUAGGGUUUAGGGUUUAGAGUUUAGAGGUGGGGUUUAGGGUUUAGGGUUUAGAGUUAAGGGGUGGGGUUUAGGAUUUAGGGUUUAGGAUUUAGAAUUUAGGAUUUAUGGUUUAGGAUUUAGAGUUUAGAGUUUAGGUUUUAGGGUUUAGAGUUUAGGUUUUAGGGUUUAGAGUUGGGGAGUGGGAUUUUGGGAUAAGAUUUCAAAUUUUGAAAAAUAAAAAAAAAUUAAAUUUUUUAAAAGAUAAAUGCUAUUUUGGUUUUUUUAGUUUUUGAGGGCUAUUUUUGUGACAUAAAUUUAGAAAUGUGUUAUUUU